GAUGAACGCUGGCGGCGUGCCUAAUACAUGCAAGUCGAGCGAACAGACGAGGAGCUUGCUCCUCUGACGUUAGCGGCGGACGGGUGAGUAACACGUGGAUAACCUACCUAUAAGACUGGGAUAACUUCGGGAAACCGGAGCUAAUACCGGAUAGUAUAUUGAACCGCAUGGUUCAAUAGUGAAAGACGGUUUUGCUGUCACUUAUAGAUGGAUCCGCGCCGCAUUAGCUAGUUGGUAAGGUAACGGCUUACCAAGGCAACGAUGCGUAGCCGACCUGAGAGGGUGAUCGGCCACACUGGAACUGAGACACGGUCCAGACUCCUACGGGAGGCAGCAGUAGGGAAUCUUCCGCAAUGGGCGAAAGCCUGACGGAGCAACGCCGCGUGGGUGAUGAAGGUCUUCGGAUCGUAAAACUCUGUUAUUAGGGAAGAACAAAUGUGUAAGUAACUAUGCACGUCUUGAUGGUACCUAAUCAGAAAGCCACGGCUAACUACGUG
RNAcentral lists this ribosomal RNA (497 nucleotides) under uncultured bacterium. RNAcentral describes it as "partial 16S ribosomal RNA". It matches the Rfam family "Bacterial small subunit ribosomal RNA", at positions 28 to 507 of the family's 1533-position model. The record is from RNAcentral.